GAUGAACGCUGGCGGCGUGCCUAAUACAUGCAAGUCGAGCGAACGGACGAGAAGCUUGCUUCUCUGAUGUUAGCGGCGGACGGGUGAGUAACACGUGGAUAACCUACCUAUAAGACUGGGAUAACUUCGGGAAACCGUAGCUAAUACCGGAUAAUAUUUUGAACCGCAUGGUUCAAAAGUGAAAGACGGUCUUGCUGUCACUUAUAGAUGGAUCCGCGCUGCAUUAGCUAGUUGGUAAGGUAACGGCUUACCAAGGCAACGAUGCAUAGCCGACCUGAGAGGGUGAUCGGCCACACUGGAACGGAGACACGGUCCAGACUCCUACGGGAGGCAGCAGUAGGGAAUCGUCCGCAAUGGGCGAAAGCCUGACGGAGCAACGCCGCGUGAGUGAUGAAGGUCUUCGGAUCGUAAAACUCUGUUAUUAGGGAAGAACAUAUGUGUAAGUAACUGUGCACAUCUUGACGGUACCUAAUCAGAAAGCCACGGCUAACUACGUG
RNAcentral lists this ribosomal RNA (497 nucleotides) under uncultured bacterium. RNAcentral describes it as "partial 16S ribosomal RNA". It matches the Rfam family "Bacterial small subunit ribosomal RNA", at positions 28 to 507 of the family's 1533-position model. The record is from RNAcentral.